RNAcentral lists this unclassified non-coding RNA (567 nucleotides) under Sipha flava (yellow sugarcane aphid). RNAcentral describes it as "uncharacterized LOC112688573, transcript variant X2". Lineage: Eukaryota; Metazoa; Arthropoda; Insecta; Hemiptera; Aphididae. The record is from RNAcentral.
UUUGACUUUUCGAGUGGUAAGAGUCAUUAGAUUGAAAUAUUGUGUAUUUUAUUUACUAUGGAGGAUACUAAAGAAGCCUCCACCAUUUGGUUUAAGGCCUGAAGCUGACGCUCCGCCGUGUCCAACAGCCUCAUUACUGCGUCCGUGCCAGUUAGCAAUUGUACCUCAUCAGGUCCCAGCAAUAUGUUCUCCCAAUGUAUUGUUUUAAAUUAACCUCUGCAGUACUUCCAGUGGGUCAGUCCAUUGAAGGCAGAAAAACACUAUAUGUUCCGUAGUGUCAUUAAUCCAACCCACUGUGUGAACAUCCGGGAUGAUGGUUUUCCUCUUAAACAGAGGUGGAAGUUGAGCAGAAAUUCCGGAAGUGGUGACAGGAAUCGGCAGGAAAAGAGCAUUAAAUAGGAAAAAGUUUUAAAAUGAAAAUGGGUGGGGGUGGGGACAUGUACGUGAGGUAUUGGUGUUACUACUAUAGUAUCCUUUAUUGCCGUGCAAUAGGUUUUAUCAUUAUUAUUAAGAUACGAGCAUUAUUGUUUUACAUUAUAAAUAAGACAUAUUAUUAUUUGCAUAUGU